AACAGGCUAUUAUUUGAACUUGGAAUUAUUUUUAAUUAUGGAAUUCGCAUAAUUUCUUGUGUUUAAAUUUUUUUAUAAAUUCCAUGUUUAUUUUGUAUUAUCAUCUUUUGAGCGGUUAAUAACACUUUCCAUACAAUGUAUUUUGGUUAGAUAGUGUUGUGCGCGGCACAGUACAUUCUAUUGAAAAUAUACUAUUUUCUUUGUAAUAGAAAGUGUUGUGCGCAGCACAGAACAUUUCAGUACAGAAUAAUCAUGGAAUUUAUUAAAAAUUUCAAUAACAAGAAAUCAAGCAAAUUCCAUAGUUAAAAAUAAUUCCAAGUUUAAAUAAUAGACUGUUACAAGCUUUGUAAAUAAGAUUGACAUCUUUAAACAAUAUGUAUAGGCAUAGUUUAACCUGAAUAUAUUAUAUUUGAAUUUAAUUUGGUGUUAUCCUAUGAUAAACGCUUAAUCCAACUGAACUAAAAUUGUUUGUACAUGUUUGUGUCUAAACGAGCAUAAUACUUGCAACUGGACUAUAAGCAAUUUCAGUCAAAAGUCGAUUUAUAUGUUACAGAUUAAAUUUGCAAUAACAACCGGCAUUGAACCAACUAAUACUAAUAAAUGAUCACUUCAUCAACUGUGUCCCCCAUUAUAAAAUUGCUGUAAACGUUAUUUAUUUUAUUCAUGUAUUAGCGCUAAAAGACGUGAGACGUCCUGGCGUUAAAUAGUGGACACGUUUUGGCGAAUAACAAUUAUCGGACACGUUUGGGGGUUAUAAAAUCAGACACGUUUGGGGAAUAUUGGAUAUUACGGACACGUUUAGGGAGAAUAGACACGUUUGGGG
Molecule: long non-coding RNA, 823 nt
Filed under: Mytilus galloprovincialis (Mediterranean mussel)
Lineage: Eukaryota; Metazoa; Mollusca; Bivalvia; Mytilida; Mytilidae
Source: RNAcentral